AACGUAGGUGGCGAGCGUUAUCCGGAUUUACUGGGCGUAAAGCGCCCGUAGGCGGCCUGACAAGUUGGACGUGAAAGCUCCUGGCUUAACUGGGAGAGGCCGUUCAAAACUGUCAAGCUAGAGUCUGGAAGAGGAGAGCGGAAUUCCCGGUGUAGUGGUGGAAUGCGUAGAGAUCGGGAGGAACACCAGUGGCGAAAGCGGCUCUCUGGUCCAAAACUGACGCUGAGGGGCGAAAGCGUGGGGAGCGAACGGG
This 253-nucleotide ribosomal RNA is filed under the name uncultured bacterium. Its description in RNAcentral is "partial 16S ribosomal RNA". It matches the Rfam family "Bacterial small subunit ribosomal RNA", at positions 524 to 776 of the family's 1533-position model. The record is from RNAcentral.